GCCUGUUCGAGCGUCAUUAUAACCCUCAAGCCUAGCUUGGUGUUGGAGCAUGCUAUCUAGCAGCUCUUAAAAUCAGUGGCAGUGCCCUUCGGCUCUAAGCGUAGUAAUUCUUCUCGCUAUAGAACCCGGAUGGUACGCGCCAGAACCCCCAACUUUCUAUGGUUGACCUCGGAUCAGGUAGGGAUACCCGCUGAACUUAA
This 200-nucleotide unclassified non-coding RNA is filed under the name soil metagenome. Its description in RNAcentral is "partial contains internal transcribed spacer 2 and large subunit ribosomal RNA". The record is from RNAcentral.